Molecule: non-coding RNA, 4638 nt
Organism: Triticum urartu
Lineage: Eukaryota; Viridiplantae; Streptophyta; Magnoliopsida; Poales; Poaceae
Source: RefSeq, a predicted model, not a curated record
CGAUAUUAUGCCUGGCUCAUGGAUGUAUCUUCCGCAAUACUAUUAUACUUUACUUUCUUUUGUUUGUGUGAGAAUUACUUUACUUUCCCUUUGUGUAGCCUUAAGUAGUCAAACUUUUUUGGGGGUCAGUAUGGAGAUAGUUUUCCCUAUGUGUAGGUCUUCUAGGGCUUUAGUCUAGGUUUCGUUACAUAUUAAUAACAUCUUUUACCCUGGGGAGAAUUUGUCUUUAGAUGUGAAUUUACAAACCAAAUCCCUGUUUCUUUCCACCAAAUAAAUAUGAUUACAGUCAUAUUAUGAGAAGGCGCUCCCACUUUAACAACGAAAGCUGUAUUCACAAAAUAGAACAUCCGCUAAAUAGUGGUAUCAUUGUCAACAAAAACAUGUAAGAGGAGUUGCGGUACAUGGUAGAUAGAUUCAAAUGUGUUGCUAGGUCAUAGACCUGGAAGUCAAUUCGGGUGUAAUUGUUACACUCAAAGAUAGACCCCGCCACUCUAGACUCCAGACGAUUAUGGCCAGGUAUGCAUGAAAAAGAGUCGAACAUUUUUCAGUCAUUGAACAUAAAAAAAAUGCAUCGCAUGUUCCCUACACCUACUCCUCAGAGCAUCUCCAACCGAACGUCUAUAUACCGAUCUCCAUAUCUCCGUAUGGUGAGCCUCUCUGGAAAAAAAAUCCUCUUCGUAUUUCUUCACGCUCUGACAUACCCUCCAUUUUCCGUCCUUUGUAUUCCACACUCUUUCUCACUCCAGUUUACAAAAAAAGUGAUGUUUUGGACAUACCUAUUUGACCGCUGAUGUUGUUUCAGUAUUUAGGUUGGAAACUUGAGAAUCAGAUGUACAGAUUUGUGUCGGAAACUAUUUUUAAGAUACCAUAAUUUUAAAGUAGAAAAUAGUGCUCAGAAUUAUAUUUUGAUGGUCAUGUCACUGUCCAAAAUGUCACCUUUCCUUGAACGGGAGGACAGGGGCGGAGCCAGAAAAUUUGGCCAAUGGGUUCACUCGUUAGUUCAUUGUGCGGUUUGGGUACGAGUUAAUUAAGUGUAAAGUACAUUUCCACACCAUUGAACAACAAGAAUACAAUACUUAAGAUAUCCUAACAAAUAGAAAUAUGACACCAAUAAUCACAUAUGGUAAUUACAUUAAAAAGCUUAAAAGUGCAAGAUGUACCAGUUGUAUAAGACCGCUUGUCUAACCAAAAUAACCUCGUAGCCUCAGGGUCAACUUUUCAUCCUCCGGAAAAGAUUAAAAAAACACAUUCGUUUGACAAGUUUAAAGUAAACUGCCAUCUAGCGAAAGAAUGUAAAUUCACUCACAUUUCAUAGUGGCCCCUUCCGAUAUUUCAUCAUCCUAAAAUUUAAUUACUUUCUGCAUAAAAGGCUCUGGGAGAUCAUAUGAAUUAAUUUCUCUGAAUAGAAGGCUCUGGAAGAUUAUUUGCAGCAAGCCAUUGGUACGACCAUGGUAACAUCCAGCGUAUUAAAGAAAACAUGCAUCCACGACAUUGUUGACGAGAAAGCUAGAGGAGUUCAUCAGCUGAAACUACGGCGAGGCAGAGAUGGAAAGAUGCGGAUGGUAUGCGGACCUGAGUUUGUGGCCGUGGCUGAUCGAGCAUGCAAUUUGGAACCUAAUCACAUGGACCUGAGUGCAAUACGUGAACAUAAAUUGUGUGACCGUAGAGUUAUACGAGAACCAGAAGAGGUAAAACCAACGUUCCGUACGCCUCCUGAUUGGAUACGAAUCGGCUCGAUCGAUAUUUGUUUGCAUGGUAGAAUGAUGGAUGCAAUUUAAUUAGGUAUCUCUUGUAGUCCACGUACAAAAAGAAGAUAUAUUAUCUUUUGGAGUUGUUGCGUCCACUAGUUGGUACGAAUGUGAGGUGGUCUUCUGUUAGGAUUUAGUUGUUAAUUAGAUUAUUCUGUUUAGAGUCCAGAUCUUCUUACCUUCAAGUGUACGAGAGUCAAGCCAUAUAAACGGCUGGCUUCGGCCAAUGUAAAGGGGGCAGUUUUGAGUUUAUUUGUGAGUUAUGAACAAGGUUCAGAAAACGUCCAGUUUUUGGGCGAUCCAAUCUUGAGUAUUUUCUGUGAUUUUCCUUUGAGGGAAUAUAUUAGCGACGAAGGGUUGAUCAUCACAUCGACGCCUACGUGCUGAUCCGAGGGGGUCAUUAUCUUUGUUCGUGUACUGAUCGUGUGCCGGUAGAGAUUGUUAUUGGAGGUUACGAGGAGGAACACGGGAAAAGAACUGCUGAUCUUGCAUCGCCGUGAAAGGUCGGGCCAUCUAAAAGCACAAAAUAACGUCUGGUUAGUCCUUGCCUUAUCAAGUGGUAUCAGAGCUAAGGUUAGUCACGGCGAUUCAAUUUGCAAUAUCGUCUGCGGAGGCGAGCAGGAAAAUGUUGAUGGAGGAGGAAGGCAUUGGUGAGGUCACUCUUUUUCACACUCGUUGCGUCGUGAACAAUAUCACAUCUACAUCUGGUGUGUGGGCUUAAAGUGCCUACAUCACUGUAUGAAUCCGAUGAUCAAUUUCUAUUUGACAAAUAUCAUUCCAUAGCCUGGAAUCCUAGAUCAAUCAAAGUUUAAAGGAAAAGCAGUUAGAAAAUUAGGGCAAAGGUUAAUUUCGUACUUAAUAGGUUACAAGGCAUGCACAAGCGGAACGAUGUGAUCGAUCUCAUUACCUUCAAUCUGGUGUACUUCAAUUGCCGGCCGCUGUCGACGGCUUCUUGGCUUGCCACUGGGCGUUGGCGGUCGGGGUCGCCAUGGGCUAACAAGAGAAACCUAGGAAGUUGUCGAGUCGGGCUGCGUGCGGUGUGUUGUGUAAUCUUUUUUAGAUAAUUAUGUUGCGUACAUGACAUGGAAUCGAUUGAUCGGCGGUCCAGCCUGCUUCGUGGAUGGCACUGAUGGAUCACAUUUACUCAUGGGCUUCUUUUGUUUUUGAGAAAUAUUGACUUUUGGUUGGGCUAUUCAAGUUAUGAAACAUUAAUGGGCCAAGAGGCUUCCCGCUCGUGCGUUCUAGCUUUGCUGGGUUCAACCGUGCAUUCGUACUGGGUUCAUCAAAGUGACUACGUGUCUACAUAUACGUGCGUGAGAAAAUCGUUGGGUUCAGUUGAACCCAACACCUACAUGCUGGCUCCGCCUCUGCCGGAGGAAUUAUAUUUUAUCGAUAUGAUAUAAAUAGCAAUAUUCUUUUAAUGGCCAUAUGUUUCAAUGACUAUAUUUGUAACGGCUAUUUUUGGACGGAUGCAUUUGUAAUGGUUAUAUUAGGCUAUACAUGCAAAGCUAUUUGCCUUUUUAUGGUUGUUCCUCUACCACAUCACAAUUAGUGGUCGCAGCUUACUCAUGCAAUGUCUCUUGGAUACUUCGUUGUCUGAUGAUGGCAAGGAACUUAUUCUUACAUCAACCCAAGCACACAAUGAAUAUUAUCGUUUGAAUACACACUAUGCCAAGAUCCAUUAGUAUACGCUAAGUGAUUCAUCGCAACAGGUUUGUUGUUAGUCGAUAUGUUUGUGUUUGCUUUUUUUGUUUAAUUUCUUGUCUAUGGCUCAUGUUUAUUUUACGUCCAGGUUUAGAAUGACUUGUUCUCUAACUUUUGACAUAGUGUAUGCUGUAGAAGGCAAUGAUGACACCUUCGUGUAGAGAACUGAUGGCUGUGGACAUCUUGGGCUAUCUUUUUUUUUUUACAGAAGAUUACCCCAACAUUUAAAAUACUAACUAAUGGAGUAGCACCCGGUGCUGCGGAUGAUUUCGGAUUGGAGCACAGAACCGCCUUGGCGUGGAACAUUCAAAAGCUGAUAUUAUGUGCUGGAUAUGUAGUAAGAAUAAGUACUUUGCCAUCAUGACGACGAUGAAUCCAGGAGAUAUCACUUCAGUAAGUAGUGACAGCUCAUUGCUAUGUUGAGCCAUGUCUGUAUGAAAAGUGAUGGAUGUGGACAUGUUGGGUUAUCUUUUUAACAGAAGAUUACCCCAACAUUUAGAAUGCUAACUAAUGGAGUAACCUGAUGCUACGGAUGAUUAUGUUGGGAUCGGAGUAAGUACUGUUAGUGUCCUAAAAUGUUUGAGAAAGCUAUUGCAGAAGUCUUCGGAGGUGAGUAUUUGAGAUGUUGAAAUGAAAAUGAUGUUUUGCAAUUGCAGAGUAAAGAGAAUUUUUGCCGUGCUGGUAGACAAUUUUCCAUUUCUAAUGCAUGCAACCUAUGCUAUUUAGCAUUCUGCCCCCCCCCCCCCCCCCCUUUUGUUCUACAAUCGCUAGCCAUUCAGCAGUACAAUUCUCAUUUGAAGAUCUCACAUACUCAUCCUCAGGGACUUCAACAAUAGUUUUUACAAAUUGUAAGACUUUAUAGCAAUACUUUCUUCAAUCCGAACAUAACCAUCUGAAGCAUUCGUUGCUAUGUCAUACAUUAGCAUUCUGAAAUGCUACUGUAAGCUUCUCUGUAGAAUAUAACCCAAGAUGUCCAGCUCUAUCUCUUUUCUGUACAAAAUAGUCGUCAUGAUCUUGUACAAUUUGCACUAUGCCAAAAAAUAGAGAAGUCAUGCGAGGGGGUUUUAGAUGAUUUGCCCCAGGGUUGUUUCAAUGACCAGUGGCCCUGGCCCACCCGGCAAGCUUCUCAGGGGGCGCGGGGGGGGGGGGGGGGGAUUAUCUAAUGGAGAAGUAAAGUGGGGCAAAA